RNAcentral lists this ribosomal RNA (253 nucleotides) under uncultured bacterium. Its description in RNAcentral is "partial 16S ribosomal RNA". It matches the Rfam family "Bacterial small subunit ribosomal RNA", at positions 524 to 776 of the family's 1533-position model. The record is from RNAcentral.
UACGUAGGGGGCAAGCGUUGUCCGGAAUCACUGGGCGUAAAGCGACCGCAGGCGGCCUGACAAGUCGGAUGUGAAAGCCCUGGGCUCAACUCAGGAAUUGCAUUCGAAACUGGCAGGCUCGAGUACGGGAGAGGGGGGUGGAAUUCCUGGUGUAGGGGUGAAAUUCGUUGAUAUCAGGAGGAACACCGGCGGCGAAGGCGGCCCCCUGGCCCGCAACUGACGCUCAUGGUCGAAAGCGUGGGGAGCAAACAGG